Molecule: small RNA, 191 nt
Filed under: Novosphingobium sp.
Lineage: Bacteria; Pseudomonadati; Pseudomonadota; Alphaproteobacteria; Sphingomonadales; Sphingomonadaceae
Description: Manganese sequence
Rfam family: Manganese Mn2+ riboswitch aptamer (yybP-ykoY)
About the family: This RNA was originally discovered in E. coli during a large scale screen and was named SraF. The family was later found to exist upstream of related families of protein genes in many bacteria, including the the yybP and ykoK genes in B. subtilis.
Source: RNAcentral
CGUCAAGUCACUUGGGGAGUAGUCGCCGCGCUUGCGCGGUCCCAUCCAUCGCAAAGAUGGCGCGUCAACAUACUUGGCCGAGAGGCCAUGGCGCAGGCAGACGGGGUCAUCCGUCUGGACGAGACCAAUGACGGCAGCUUUUCGUCCGGGCCGGGCGGGGAGGAAUGUCGUCGUUGUCUCAGUUCCCGUCC